GACAUGUAACAGACAUGAAAGAGACAUGACACAGACAUGUAACAGAUGUGUGACUGACAUGAAACAGACAUGAAACAAACAUGUAACAGACAUAUAACACACAUGAAACAGACAUGUAACAGACAUAUAACAGACAUGAAACAGACAUGUUACAGAUAUGUAACUGACAUGAAACAGACAUGUAACAGACAUGUAACUGACAUGUAACACACAUGAAACAGACAUGAAACAGACAUGUCAUACAUGUGAAAUACACAUGAAACACACAUGUAAGUGACAUGAAACAGACAUGUAACAGACGUGUAACUGACAAGUAACUGACAUGAAACAGACAUGUAACAGACAUGUAACACACAUUUAACACAGAUGUAACAGACAUGUAACACACGUAACAGACAUGUAACACACAUGUAACACACAUGUUAAACACUUGUUAUACACAUGUAACAGAUAUGUAACACAGAUGUAACAGACAUGCAACAGAUAUGUAACAGACAUGUAACACAGAUAAAACAGACAUGUAACAGACAUGUAACACAGAUGUAACAGACAUGUACCACACAUGUAACACACGUGUUACACACGUGUAACAGACAUGUAACACAGAUGUAACAGACAUGUAACAGACAUGUAACACAGAUAAAACAGACAUGUAACAGACAUGUAACAGACAUGUAACACAGAUGUAACAGACAUGUAACAGUCAUGUAACACACAUAGAACAGACAUGAAACAGACAUGUCAUACAUGUGAAAUACACAUGAAACAGACAUGUAAAUGACAUGAAACAGACAUGUAACAGACGUGUAACUGACAAGUAACUGACAUGAAACAGACAUGUAACAGACAUGUAACACACAUUUAACACAGAUGUAACAGACAUGUAACACAGAUGUAACAGACAUGCAACAGACAUGUAACACACAUGUAACACACGUGUUACACACAUGUAACAGAUAUGUAACACAGAUGUAACACAGAUGUAACAGACAUGUAACACAGAUGAAACAGACAUGUAACACACAUGUAACACACGUGUUACACACAUGUAACAGACAUGUAACACAGAUGUAACAGACAUGUAGCACACAUGUAACAGACAUGUAACACAGAUGUAACAGACAUGUAACAGACAUGUAGCACACAUGUAACAGACAUGUAACACAGAUGUAACAGACUUGUAACAGACAUGUAACAGAGAUGUAAGAGACAUGUAACAGACAUGUAACAGACAUGUAACGCACAUGUAACAGACAUGUAACACAGAUGUAACAGACUUGUAACAGACAUGUAACAGACAUGUAACGCACAUGUAACUGACAUGUAACAAAGAUGUAACAGACAUUAAACAAGGCUGUAACAUGAGUGUGAAGUGUGACUGCACUGAUUUUGUUGUGACUCUGUGAAUCUGUCAGUGUUUAAAAUGAAGCUCAGACCUUUAUUGUGAAAAUCUCUCGGCUCCAUUUCCUUCAGUUUGACUCUUCGAUCAGCUUUUAUCAGUCUGAGGCAACAGUGUGUGUGUUUGUGUGUGUCUGUAUGUGUCCUGCAGGUGGAGCUCUCAUCCUCUCUCUGCAGACAGUAAACUAGAUGGGGGGGCAUUGUAUGAGUCAAAAAUUAAAAAUAGUUCUUGAUAAAUUCAGAGCGGUAUGCAGGGCAUGUGAGAGAGAGAGUGUGUGUGAGUGAGUGUGUGUGUGUGUGUGUGUGUGUGUGUGUGUGUGUGUGUGUGUGUGUGUGUGUGUGUGUGUGUGUGUGCGUGUGUGUGUUGUUCAUGAAUAUCUGAGACUAAUUACUGUAAGGAACCAUGAAGACCUCAGAUGUCCACAAAGUCAGACAAGAACACAAUGAGGCUUUAUCAAAUACACAAAGACACACAACUACAACAACACAACAAAACAGCACAACAUGACAACCCUGAGGUGUAACAACAAACAGUCAUCACAGUAUUUGACACCAGUUUACAGUAACAGCACUAACAGCAGUUACAGUAGUUGACAUUAGUUUCCACACAGCCUUCCCCUCCAAUCACAGCGCAGCUCUACAGUCAGCUGACCCACACUGAAGAACAUCCUGUGUAGGUUUGUAGAAACUCUGAUUUCAUGAUGUCACACAGAUCGGACCGGUCCCUAACGGGUCUCAACGGGUCUGAAGGAGUCCACCACUGCAGACCUCCAUCACUGUGGUGUCCUCAAACACACCGCCAGCAUGUCCAGGUUCCAUCAGAUCACUGUGUGUGAGUGUGUGUGUGUGUGAGUGUGUCUGUGUGUGUGUGUGAGUGUGUCUGUGUGUGUGUGCGUCUAACCUGAUGUCUGAGUCCAUGUUUUAUCUAAACAGAAUCACUUAUUGUGUUUAUGGAUCUGCAGCUGCAGCAGAUAAUCCCUGAGCACAAAGACCUGUGUGUGUGUGUGUGUGUGUGUGUGUGGGUGGGUGAGGAGGCCUCGGGGUUCCUCAGUGGAGGAGGAGGAGGAGCAGAAACAAAAAGGCAGAGGUUACAUAAGCUCCUGAAUCUUCCUAAAAUACCUGCAUUAGAGGAAACUAAUCUGCUUACACACACACACACACACACACACACACACACACACACACACACACACACACACACACACACACACACUCAUGAUGAGAUCCACUCUGCUGCUGUGACAGGUGCAUCAGGACCAAGAUUACACAGCCGCUCACACACGCUGCUGCACUCAUCUUCAUCUGUGGGGAUAAUCUGAGAUUCCUGAUGAUGGAGCGACAGAAAAAACUACAACAACCAAAUAUGAACCUUUAUAUAAGGGUCUGAGGGGGCGGAGUCUAACGCACAACCGCACAAACAUGAACACACACACACACACACACACUGACAGAAGAAAACUCAUGAAGACAUCAUCAGACGGCAGGAGAAACAAAUAAAGUGUUAAUGUGAGAAACUGAAGAUGAUUGUAAAUAUUCUGAUCAUCAUGAUCAAUGAAAUGAUCAUCAUUAUAAUAAUCAUUAUUAUAGUUAUGGAAAUUACACAUACAUAUUAAAUAUAUAUUACAUUAUAUAUCUCAUGUAUAAAUUAUAUAGGGAUGCAUAUACAUAUAUGUAUUUAUACACAUAUAUGUAUAUAAAUACAUAUGUGUGUGUAUAUAUAUAUAUUUAUACACACAAACACAUACAUUUUUAUAUAUAUAUAUAUGUGUGUGUGUGUGUGUGUGUGUGUGUGUGUGUGUGUGUGUGUGAGCUGCUGUCCACCAUCCUGUCCCCCCCUCCCCGUCGUCAGGGUGAGGUGGACUUUAGUCCUUCAGUAAUCGGUCAGGGGACUGCAGGGCGAACAGGGUCUCAUUGAUGGACGGGUCUGAAGACAGCACAUCUGGAGCCCAACAAGAAGCCCAGUGUUCUUCAUAAACACACACACACACACAACUGUCCCCAAUCGUCCUCUUAGUCCAAACCUUCUCCCAGAGGCACAGUGGGGCACAGUGGGGGACAGUGGGGGACAGCGGGGACGAUCAAAUCUCCGUCUGUUCACUGCUGAGGAAAAAAAAAACACGUUAGUUUUUCUCCUGAUGAAGAUUCGACAAAAACGAGGCCGUGACCCACAGGAGAGGAGACGGACACCAGCUCUGUGUCCACACAGACAGAGGACAGUCUACAGGAGACAUCUAUAAAAACGGGUCUACAUCCUGACAUUCCACCAGAUCUACAUGAAGAACAUCUGUUUACAGAGACGAGAGGACAGCUGAUCAGCUGAUCAGUUAGCAGCUGUUUCUGUUGACUCUGAUUGAUCAGUGAUGGUGGUCUACAUCCACGUUUCAGUCCCAGCUCAUCAGAUCUUCUCUUCAGAACCGCAGUCUGUAUUUACUCUGGACUCCUCGGUUCCUCCAGUUUACAGAUCUGAAGCUGAAAAGUUCUCAGUAAUUCUGCGUUUUUUUCUCCACUUCCUCAAACCAACAUCGUUCACAUUCAGCAGGAGAGUCGCUGUGAUGACGCUCGGUGAUCUACUCAGUCUCUGUCCUCCCAUUGGCUGUAUCAGCUGUCAAUCAUAGAAAACAUGAACCCCCUAAUAACUUUUAAAAAUACUGCAGCCCGUCACCAGAGGGCGCUGUUCUCGAUACAGUCUAUGAUCAGGAUCUGUUUCAGGGGGCGUGUCUAUAUGAGACCGCCGUCACGUGACCUCGAUCAUCGCUCCUCUGAUUUCUCUACCCUCUCUUUCCUGGGAAACUGAUUUAAUCAAUGAUGAAUAUUGAUUACUAAUUAAUCAGUUUUUAUGAUCAAUGAUUUAAAAAUCUCAUCAGAUUAUUUUCAUAAACUCACUCAGAGGAGAGGGCUUUACACACACACACACACACACACACACACACACACACAGGCAGGGGGCCAGAGUGUGUGUGUGUGUGUGUGUACGUGUGUGUGUGUGUGUGUACGUGUGUGUAGUGGUGCCGUAAAUCCAAAUGUCCAAAAAUAAAAGCCUAUUAGAGGAGUGAAACAUUUUGAUCUGAGAGAAACAAUGUCAACAUCCAAACACAUCUGCUGCAGCUUAUCUACACACACACACACUCACACACACACACACACACACACACACACACACACACUCACUCACACACACACACACACACACAUACACACUCACACACACACACAUACACACUCACACACACUCACACUCACACACACUCACACACACACACACACACACACACACACACACACACACACACAGAUAUGUCACAGAUCAGUCCGAGUGCAGGAUUUAUCUUCCCUCCAAAAUAAAAGCACAGAUUAGUCUGCAGGUUUCGCUCAUGGAUACUUUUAAAGGAACAGUCUGUGGUUUUUCUGCAACAUGGUUCUGUGGGGUUCUGUGAGGUUCUGUGAGGUUCUGUGAGGUUCUGGUCUACAGUCUUGUCUUGUCUCAGUGUUUGAACGCUGGGAAAUAAGUGCAGCUCGCCUGGUCUAGCACAAAUUUUUUUUUCUAAGUGUCUUUUCUAAGAAAUAUGUUUUUACAGUUCCUCUGUGGUCCCAACAAUCCUGGAUUAAGUAUCAAUAAUAAACAGGAAACAGGGAAUAAACUACUUCAAAAUAAAACAGGAAACACAGGGAAUAAGCUACUUCAAAAUAAAACAGGAAACACAGGGAAUAAGCUACUUCAAAAUAAAACAGGAAACACUGAUAUAAGAAAUGAAACUCUGAGAACAUGAGGGACCCGGGUCAGGACUUCAGGGGAACAGGAACACAGAAAAUCAACUCCGAUAACCUAAACCAGGGAAAACUAUCAUGACCUUUUUUCUCUUUAAUGAUAUUCUAACCCCCAACAUUUGGGGGCGUCGCUUUCAAGGGGUCACUUCCUGUCCCUUGACUGUCUGGCUGUGAAGUCAUGAUGUCAGAGUUAGAGUUAGGUGAGCUGAUUACUUAAAGGUAGAGCUGGGCGAUAAAACAACAACCAUAUAUAUCAAUAAUUAAUAUAUCAAUAUAAACAUGAUCAAUAUGCUUUUCAAUAGUCGUCAUUCUGACAUGUUUUGGUCGACUAUACGAACAGCCAAUGAAAAGGGGAGUUUCUCCGGGUCUGAACCAAUCAUGUUCUGAAUUAGAACCAAGUAUCAACCAACUGCUGCGUCGUAGCAGACAGCAGCUCCACCCAACCAUAGCACUUUAACAGGUGAAGCCGACAGCACUGUUGGUGAGAAACAAAAAAAAAUGAGUGCUACCCCCGACAGAAAUGACCAUGAAGGCUCAACAGAUGACCACAUCAAUGUCAACCACAACACUGGCGUUAGGAAAACGUCGGUGGUGUGGAGGUAUUUUGGUGUUUGGAGGUCGGACAUGAAGCAGAGUAAUGUGGACUGUAAAUUAUGUCGAGUACAUGUUCUCACAAAGUCGGGGAAUACCUCAAAUCUUUUUCACCACCUGAAUAAACUCUGUUACAUUUCAUUUUUUAUAUCCUGAUAUUGAUCGAUAUCAGCUGAUAUGAAAAUAAUAGAUCAUGAUAAACUUUUUCACAGAUCGUCCAGCCCUACUCUCAGCCUGGUCUGAACCCCCUUCACCUCCUCCUGUCGGCCUCCUGGUCUCAUAAUGACUCAGCAGCAGCUGUGACCAGAGUCUGAAUCUGUGACUCUGAUUGGUCCGUCCCUCUCCUGGACACCUCAGCAGAAAACACUGGACAGCUGGAGCGCCUGUUUGAAUCUACACUCGGUCCUGUGUCC
This is a non-coding RNA of Xyrichtys novacula (pearly razorfish), 6167 nucleotides long. Lineage: Eukaryota; Metazoa; Chordata; Actinopteri; Labriformes; Labridae. The record is from the annotation of a GenBank genome assembly.